GAUGGUUCUAUCUGCUUGUUAAAUCUUUAUUCUCCUAUUUUAAGUGCAAGGGAAUUUAAGAAUUUAGUUUUAUGGCAGGGGCUAUAGGAAUGAUUUAAUUUGUUAUUGGUAACUAAGCAUUAGAGCUUAAAAGAUCUUAGCUCUGAGCAAAUUUUCUGAAUGGUUGUUGAGUUCGUCUUAUUCUGUUUUUUCUUGCUUUCCGGUCCCAUGAUUGAUUAUGUUAAUUGCUGCCUGGAUUGCUUAUAAAUGGCACUAAUGCUCAAAAUUCUUUGCUGCCUUGCAAUCUUCUGAUUAUUUGUGUUAAUUGUUGAUUUUGAUUUUUCUACGGAUGACAAGAUUCGAACAAGACUGAAUAGGGUAUUCUCCUAAGAGCGUGAAACAACUGAAAGCAUGUGUUUGGAAUUUUUUGUGUGUGUGAUAAGUGGUCUUUUGUUAUAAUAUAAUCAAAAUGAUGGAUGAUUGGUUUAAAGAAUGGCC
This 477-nucleotide long non-coding RNA is filed under the name Gossypium barbadense (sea-island cotton). RNAcentral's name for it is "long non-coding RNA (GBAR_LNC022384)". Lineage: Eukaryota; Viridiplantae; Streptophyta; Magnoliopsida; Malvales; Malvaceae. The record is from RNAcentral.